This is an RNA transcript of Nerophis ophidion (straightnose pipefish), 1329 nucleotides long. It is a transcript of the gene named deoxycytidine kinase 2-like, with no coding region annotated. Lineage: Eukaryota; Metazoa; Chordata; Actinopteri; Syngnathiformes; Syngnathidae. The transcript is spliced from 9 exons. The record is from RefSeq and is a predicted model, not a curated record.
CCAUUUGAAGCGGAAACACAUCACCAAGUUUGCGCGCGCAGGUUUUAAAGGUUGAAGGACAUUCUCCUGCUGUCCGGGUUUCAAACAAAAGUGGAGAAAGAAGAAAGACGUGAAUAAACACAAGUGGAAGAAGAAGAAAAAUAUAAGUGUCGUCGAGCUAAAGUGUCAGAAGAAAGAAGGGAACAAACAAGACAAGUUUUGUCAAUAUGGCGACUCCUCCAAAGCUCGCCCGCGCUUUUUCCACUGGACCAAACUUUUCCCGCCGUCACAAAAAGAUUUCAAUCGAAGGAAAUAUCGCGGCCGGGAAGUCCACCUUUGUGCGAGUUCUCCAAAGGGCGUCAUCAGACUGGGAGGUCAUACCUGAACCCAUCGGCAAGUGGUGCAAUGUCCACAAUGACAGCGGGGACGUUUACCAGGAGCUGAGUUCCUCCCAGAAGAGCGGAGGAAAUCUGCUACACAUGCUCUACGACAAACCCAGCCGUUGGUCCUACACCUUCCAGAGUUACGCAUGUCUCAGCAGAGUUCGCGCCCAGCUUAAGUCGCCAUCAGUCAAACUUCAGCAGGCGGAAAACCCAAUUCAGUUCUUCGAGCGUUCCGUCUACUCGGACAGGUACGUGUUUGCGUCCAACCUGUAUGAGUCUGGCAACAUAAGCGAGACGGAGUGGAGCGUCUACCAGGACUGGCACGGAUGGUUGCUCGGUAGCUUUGAGGAGGACAUCGCUCUCGACGCCAUCAUUUACCUGAGAGCCGACCCACAGUGCUGCAUGCAGCGUCUGAUCCACCGCGGUCGAGAAGAAGAGAGCGACAUUCCUCUGGAGUAUUUGGAACAACUUCACCUGAAACAUGAAGAUUGGCUCGUCCACAGGAAGCUCAGGACAAAAAGGACAGCCAAAAGUGGUUGGUGAAUGAGAAGAAUAAAUCUGAAGACUGGACUUUGAUUACCUGAAUCAUGUUCCUGUCCUCGUUUUGGACGUCAACGACAACUUCAAGAACGAUGGCAUCAAACAGGAAGCGAUCGUGGACAAGGUCAAAGAGUUCCUCUCCACGUUGUAGGAGACACUUUCACUGUGGACUAUAUCAAUCUUUGCGCUCUUCUUGCGUGUCUUGUCCCACGCCGACACUCAGGAUGCAAUACAGAAAAGAGACACAUUCAUUGGAUAUAUGUCCUGCUCGUCAUGAGGACUUCUGAGCGUUACUUCUGCACCUGACCAUCCACAAAACUCACCUUGGAUUCUUUAUAUGAGUUUUAAAUCUGUCAGACACCGACUGGAGUCUUUGAGAUCUUGUUUUUAUUUAAAAUUAAAGCUUGUCAUGGUAGCUAGCAAUCAU